This 634-nucleotide ribosomal RNA is filed under the name uncultured Micrococcus sp. RNAcentral's name for it is "bacterial SSU rRNA". It matches the Rfam family "Bacterial small subunit ribosomal RNA", at positions 231 to 875 of the family's 1533-position model. Lineage: Bacteria; Bacillati; Actinomycetota; Actinomycetes; Micrococcales; Micrococcaceae. The record is from RNAcentral.
UCGCGGCCUAUCAGCUUGUUGGUGGGGUAAUGGCCUACCAAGGCGACGACGGGUAGCCGGCCUGAGAGGGUGACCGGCCACACUGGGACUGAGACACGGCCCAGACUCCUACGGGAGGCAGCAGUGGGGAAUAUUGCACAAUGGGCGCAAGCCUGAUGCAGCGACGCCGCGUGAGGGAUGACGGCCUUCGGGUUGUAAACCUCUUUCAGUAGGGAAGAAGCGAAAGUGACGGUACCUGCAGAAGAAGCGCCGGCUAACUACGUGCCAGCAGCCGCGGUAAUACGUAGGGCGCGAGCGUUAUCCGGAAUUAUUGGGCGUAAAGAGCUCGUAGGCGGUUUGUCGCGUCUGCCGUGAAAGUCCGGGGCUUAACCCCGGAUCUGCGGUGGGUACGGGCAGACUAGAGUGCAGUAGGGGAGACUGGAAUUCCUGGUGUAGCGGUGAAAUGCGCAGAUAUCAGGAGGAACACCGAUGGCGAAGGCAGGUCUCUGGGCUGUUACUGACGCUGAGGAGCGAAAGCAUGGGGAGCGAACAGGAUUAGAUACCCUGGUAGUCCAUGCCGUAAACGUUGGGCACUAGGUGUGGGGGACAUUCCACGUUUUCCGCGCCGCAGCUAACGCAUUAAGUGCCCCGCCUG